AUGGUGAAGAACUCCCUGUGCAAGAUUUUGAAGUCUCUGCUAAAUGCGUUUCAGAGAAAUACUUGCAAUUAAAUUAAUCAGUUUUACAUCUGCCACAACUUCUUUUUUUUGCUGUUUCUGUAAUUAUUGCUGAUUCUGUAACACAAAUUAAUAACAGUAUUAUCCCUGAAAAUCAGCAGUCCUUCAAAACAUCUGCUUUGUUAUUUUUUGUCAGAUGCAUGGAGCCUCAAAGUGCUAGCAUGGCACAUUGAGACCUGUCUACGAGCACUGAAAGCUUAAGCUUGCCAGUAAAUAUAAAGAGGUGGUGAUGGGUUUUGAGCUGCGUACCAAGGGAUGCCACAACAGCUUGGCAAUUCAGGCUUCUGACCGUGAGAGUAAGAGGAGUUCUGCAUAAAUAACAGAAGACAGGCUUAUAAAUGUUAGAGUGGAGGCAAAGGAAUUAACUCAGGACUAGUGAAUGAAAAUCAAAAGGUGGCAUCUCUGCAUCUCUGAAGUUCUGAGGAGAAAUCAUAUGGAGAACACACUGCUAGCUUGGGCAGCACCCAAAGAAAAGCACAGGUGGGACAGGCAGGAAGGCCUGGUUUGCAUAAACCAAUCAAGGAAACAAUAAGCAGAAGACUCAGCGUCUUCCACUAGUGAAUCCCAAAGUAGAAGGUAUCACCAGUGUUCUUUGCUGGCUGAAAGGAUUUGAGAAGCAGAUUGACACAGUGGAAAUUCAGUCAAGCCACAUGCCUGCAAGAGAGGUCAUGA
This 750-nucleotide long non-coding RNA is filed under the name Cyanistes caeruleus (blue tit). RNAcentral describes it as "lncRNA (ENSCCEG00000013069.1)". Lineage: Eukaryota; Metazoa; Chordata; Aves; Passeriformes; Paridae. The record is from RNAcentral.